GAUGAACGCUAGCUACAGGCCUAACACAUGCAAGUCGAGGGGCAUCAUGGGGGUCGCUUGCGACCUCUGAUGGCGACCGGCGAAUGGGUGAGUAACGCGUAUCCAACCUGCCCCGCGCCCGGGGAUAGCCCUUGGAAAUGAGGAUUAAGACCCGAUACGUGGCGCCGCCGCAUGGCGGCUCCAUGAAACAGACGCGGGAUGGGGAUGCGUUGGAUUAGCCAGCCGGCAGGGCAGCGGCCUACCGGGGCGACGAUCCAUAGGGGUUCUGAGAGGAAGGUCCCCCACACUGGCACUGAGACACGGGCCAGACUCCUACGGGAGGCAGCAGUGAGGAAUAUUGGUCAAUGGGCGAGAGCCUGAACCAGCCAAGUAGCGUGCAGGAUGGACGGCCCUACGGGUUGUAAACUGCUUUUGCGGGAGAAUAACCGGCGCCACGGGUGGCGCCCUGCAUGUAUCCCGCGAAUAAGGACCGGCUAAUUCCGUGCCAGCAGG
Molecule: ribosomal RNA, 492 nt
Filed under: uncultured bacterium
Lineage: Bacteria
Description: bacterial SSU rRNA
Rfam family: Bacterial small subunit ribosomal RNA
Source: RNAcentral